GCCUGGGUGGCUCAGUCAGUUAAGCAUCUGACUUUAGCUCAGGUCAUGAUCUCACAGUUCGUGAGUUCGAGCCCCACAUUGGGCU
RNAcentral lists this transfer RNA (85 nucleotides) under Felis catus (domestic cat). It matches the Rfam family "tRNA". Rfam says of the family: Transfer RNA (tRNA) molecules are approximately 80 nucleotides in length. Their secondary structure includes four short double-helical elements and three loops (D, anti-codon, and T loops). Lineage: Eukaryota; Metazoa; Chordata; Mammalia; Carnivora; Felidae. The record is from Rfam by way of RNAcentral.